Molecule: long non-coding RNA, 1793 nt
Organism: Equus caballus (horse)
Lineage: Eukaryota; Metazoa; Chordata; Mammalia; Perissodactyla; Equidae
Source: Ensembl
GUACCGUUACCACUCGCGGUCCCAAAGAAUCAUGACCUGAGGCCCGCUCGGCUUCGUGCGCGGGCUCCGCAAGCCGGAGCUGCGGUGGAGGCGCUGCGCCCAGCACCAGGAGCUGCGUGGGCAUGGGGUUUUCCCCACCUGGGGAAAGGGGGCCGAGUGUCUGUGGGUUUCCGGGAGUGCUCACUCACAGGGGCACUCCGUCCAGUCUCAUUCCCUUUCUUUUAGAUGCCCUUACCUCCCUACUGCCUAGCUUAAAGUGCACACAUUUAAUAUUUUUCCAUGUCUUCUCUUAGCACAUCCUUUCUCCAACUUCCAAACGUAGCUCAAAUCCUUAACGAGGCUCCAGGUUGACCGCAGUCUCGCUCUCCAAGCUUCAUCUCCUCUGGCAGAGGGUAGGCCUGUAGGUCAGUGGUUCUCAGAUUUUGGCGAGUGUCAGAUUCUCCUGGAGAGUUUGUUCAAACACAGCUGGCCCCUAUCCCCAGUUGCUGUUUCUUUAACUCCAGGGUGGAGCCUGAGAAUUUGCAUUUCUAACAAGUUCCCAGGUGAUGCUGAUGCUGCUGGUCUGGGGAACCACUUUGAAAACUACUGCUGGUGGUGUUUGUUGGCUAGAGUUCUGGCAUUGUCCUUCAAGGAUGGGCCUGCUGUACAAUUAUAGCCACUGAAGAGCCAAGCCAUGGAAGGCAGGGUCUCGGUCUAGUUUAGCACAGAAAUGCUCUUUUUAACUGUAAAUUAAAUAAACAAAUCACUUCAUCCAGUAUAGGGAAGAUACUAGGUGGGCCGUCUGAUUGAAAGAUGUUCCAGACCUUGGCCCUUGGCGUUCCUGGUACCGCCCACCAAUAGUUUGAGAGGCAAGAUGGUAGCCUCUCCUCACCAUCUGCUGUCCUGAUGUUCUGGGAACUACAAACCUCUCCAGGGGAAACCUGGUGACCAUCACCCUCAGGCAUGAUCUCGGACUCAGCUGUAAGCUGACAAAUGUUCUCUGCUCGACCGAACCCUAGCCAGGCUCCUCUGAGCUCUCUUCUCCAACAGUUGCCAACCUUGGCCUAUGAAAACUAUCCUCUCGGGCUGGCCUGGUGGCAUAGUGGUUAAGUGCGUGUGCUCCACUUUGGCGGCCUGGGGUUCACAGGUUUGGAUCCCGGGCACGGACCUAGCACCGCUUGUAAAGCCAUGCUGUGUUGGCAUCCCACAUAAAAUAGAGGAAGAUGGGCACAGAUAUUAGUUCAGAGCCAAUCUUCCUCACGAAAAACAAACAAAACAAAACACAACUAUACUCUCAACACAAAUUACUUCAUCCACUCUUCCCUCCCAAACACGCAUUAAAAGACACACAUAAUAACGUAGUUUCUAACAGCCCAAGGCCACAUCCCUAGGAUGACUCUAGCCCUCUUUAAAGUGUCUGAUAAAGCUCAAGGCUGCCAAAAGAAUUUACUGUUUGUUCUAGCCAACACCUGAUGAUAGGCCCCUGACCACCCCUUCUUAGAGCAUUUACUAAAAAGGGCUUACAAUUAUGGCUCCUUCCUCUGUCCCUUUGAGAUGUAUAUGUAUCUCAUACAACUGAGGAAUGUCUUUCCCAAGGACCUGAAAGCCAUUCCUUGGAAAUGUAAUCAUCACUAAGGAUAGGGCCUCCUCUCCCAGGCUCUGUGAGAGGAUAGCAUCCUAACUUUGAGAGUGGCCAGCUAACAGAUACAACUGGCCUAAUCAGCAUUUACACUGACCAACCUUUUGUAAUUUUUCACUUCCCUGACUCUGUUGAGCCCCUGCUCACCUCCCUACCUACUCCCUCAUUCUCCCUU